UGUUGCUGUUGCUGCUGGUGCUUUUGGCGAUGCUGCUGAAGGUCAGCUGGUGCAAUGGCCUCCUCCCGGUUGUCGUUGUCGUUGUCCUCGCCAUCGGCCUCGCCAAACUCAUCAUCAUCGUCAUCGUCAUCAUCAUCAUCAUCAUCA
This 147-nucleotide microRNA precursor is filed under the name Drosophila guanche. Lineage: Eukaryota; Metazoa; Arthropoda; Insecta; Diptera; Drosophilidae. The record is from RNAcentral.